AAUCAACGCUGGCGGCGUGCCUCAGACAUGCAAGUCGAACGAUUAAACUUCCCUUCGGGGAAGAUAUAAAGUGGCGCACGGGUGAGUAACACGUAGGUAAUGUACCUUUGGGUGGGGAAUAACUUAGGGAAACUUAAGCUAAUACCGCAUAAUGCAGCGGCUCCUUCGGGAGACAGUUGUUAAAGAUUUAUCGCCUAAAGAGCAGCCUGCGGCAGAUUAGCUAGUUGGUAAGGUAACGGCUUACCAAGGCUACGAUCUGUAUCCGACCUGAGAGGGUGGUCGGACACACUGACACUGAGUAACGGGUCAGACUCCUACGGGAGGCAGCAGUCGGGAAUUUUGGGCAAUGGGCGAAAGCCUGACCCAGCAACGCCGCGUGAAGGAUGAAGUCUUUCGGGAUGUAAACUUCGUAAGAAUAGGAAGAAUAAAUGACGGUACUAUGUGUAAGGUCCGGCUAACUACGUG
RNAcentral lists this ribosomal RNA (465 nucleotides) under uncultured bacterium. Its description in RNAcentral is "partial 16S ribosomal RNA". It matches the Rfam family "Bacterial small subunit ribosomal RNA", at positions 32 to 507 of the family's 1533-position model. The record is from RNAcentral.